Molecule: small nuclear RNA, 200 nt
Organism: Dermacentor andersoni
Lineage: Eukaryota; Metazoa; Arthropoda; Arachnida; Ixodida; Ixodidae
Product: U2 spliceosomal RNA
Source: RefSeq, a predicted model, not a curated record
AACGUAGACAUGGCCGACGCGGCCGGGUCAAAGUGUAUUAUCUGUUCUUAUCAGCUUAAUGUCUGAUACGGGUUGUAUUUGGACCCAAGAUAUUAAAUUUAAGUUUGCAAGUUGGCGGCUUGAAGCAGCCUUAAAGCCUGCUUCACCUCCGCCGCGGGUCGGCCCGGUAUUCCUCUAUCUCCGGCAUCGCCCCACGGUUC